Molecule: long non-coding RNA, 7864 nt
Organism: Vespa mandarinia (Asian giant hornet)
Lineage: Eukaryota; Metazoa; Arthropoda; Insecta; Hymenoptera; Vespidae
Source: RefSeq, a predicted model, not a curated record
UCUCUCUCUCUCUCUCUCUCUCUCUCUCUCUCUCUCUCUCUCCCUCUCCUCCUUUUCUCUUUUCGGUGUAACAUUAUUCUUAUUCACUAAAUCUAUACUAUUUCUUACGCUACUUAAGAAACCUUUUCAUUCUUUCUCUUCAGCCCAUCGUUUAUCAAAGCUUCACAUACUCGCUUGCGUCUUUCAUCUCCACAAUCAAACGCUAACCUUCAAUAUUAACAUCCUUUCACGUUACAACAUAUCUGCAGAAAUGCUUUGUAUAUACGUUUCCCGAAUCAGAAUACUAGGCUGAUACACUUCUAACAAUAUUAUAAUUUUAUAUAUUAAAGUAAAGUACUCUCUAAUAUUAAUCCUGCAUAUACUAUUAAUUAUGUUUGACAUUUUGCUUAAAAAUAACAUUUCACACGUUUCUUUCUUAUAAGCUAUUAAACCUUUUAUUUAUCUAAAUUAUUUACGCCAUACACACUUUCCAAUAGCUGCAACUAUUUUUAAACAAUUCUGCACUCCUACCUCCUAUGGAAUUUUGGCCCUUCUUCUAUGGCCAUCUAAUCUUUCCAUAUCCCGUCACGCUUAACAAGUUGAGACAUUAAUAUUUUAUACUGCAUAUGUAAGGAUACACUAACAAAUGGCUAAGUUACUUGCACUUCAUUACUUCCAAGAUAUUGUCGUUUUGUCAUUCCCAAAUUGAUAUACCCACUUUGAUAGUUAGUCUCAUUUUUGAUAAAAUAUCACUUACAGGGUUUGUUGAUAACCACAAAAUUUUAUCUGUAAUGUUUACACGUUCGUAGCUACAAUAAUCAAUUUCAUUGUAUAAAGCUUCCAUACACGUAGACAUCUGAAUUUUCUCCAUUUCUGAUCUUCUUCUUUUGCAAGCUCAAUACUUCUUUUAGGUUAUUGAUUAUAGACUUUGCCCAAUCUUUUAUGGUGAUCAUCACAGAUACCAUCAUCUCCAUCGCUUAACUGACAAAACGGUAUCACUCACUUCAAUCUCCUUAUUAAUGCGAACUCCUUCAUUUGUCAUAGCCAUGCAGUAUCUUAUCGCUCUUCUUCAAUUUAGAAAUUAGAUCUAAACAGGAAGCUUCUACCGCUAUCUUGUCUUUUAAGUCAAAAGCUGGUAUUCUUGAUUUCAUCUACCAAAUACUAUGCUAUCUACUGACAAUAUUUCAAAACGUUGUACCUAUUGUUACUAAUGCUAUAUUCACAUUACAAUUUGUUCUUAUUCGAAUAGGCUGGACGUAAAAUAGGUUUUCAGCCUUUUUGAAAUCAUAGACACUAAGUAGUACUCAACAGACCUAUCGUAUCCACUGCCUUGGUGGAAUAUAACUUUAACGUCUCCAAAACAGUUUGAAUCCGCCCAUAUAGUUGAUAUUUUGUAGCCGCCUCAGUACUCGUAUGUUGUUCUCCUUGGUUGUUCGACUUUAGUGGAACAGUGUUCCUAAUUAUUUAUGUCUGUCUCAAAGUUCUGCCGAUAGCAAAAUCUUGCCUACUUGCAAAAUGGUCAGUAACUUACCCUACUCAUAUUAUUUGGGACAGAUCUAUAGCAUUCCGUACCGGAUUCUUGACAUCACUUAUCCAUUCCCACCUAGAGUUCUAUUGAAUGAAGCGUCAUAUUCCAAUGGGCACUUGAAAUUACUAAAACCACUAGAGUCUCCCAUUAUCGAAGUCAUUGCUUCUUCUUCCAUCAAGUCCAUUUCUUCCCUAACUUUUUUUAUCGAAGACAAUAUCACAGUCGAAUUCCAGUCAUUUAACAUUCUAUUAGCCAGUCUAGCAUCCUGCAAAACCAAUUAGGCAGCCUGUAAUAGUCUUUUUACCAAAUCCUACAAAAUCGGAGCGAUGACGAAAAUUUAAAGAAUUCUCUUACUGACUCAUCGAGCAAUGCUGCUGCUGUUGAUUACGUUUAAUGUGAUACGAAUUAAUAGCUGAUAAGGAAAAAUUUAACAAUGAGAAAUGGAUAUCUCGCAGUUUGGGAUACAGAUAUGUAGGCAGUGUAGAAAGGAAAUAAAAUCCCAGCUUUAAUUUAUUAAUUAUAUUUAAUUUAUUAUUAUAUAUUAAUUGCAUACAUUGUGGAAAAUUUUUCAUCCGAGUUGCCACAAUUUUCAUAAAGUUUAUAAUUCAGCAAAUGAAUCGCUGAGUUGAACUGGUAAAUAUGAAAUAUUUAUAUAAAUAUGAAAUAGAGAGUGUGAUGCGAGGAGUAACGUAUGCAAGGGAAAUGUAAGGCAGCAGCCCAAUAAUGUAAAUAGCCGAAUAGCGAUCGUACGUUUCACGCUAAGACAAAGAUCGGACAAAAGAAAAGAAGUCCUAAAAAGGUAGUCAGCGUCUACCAUUCGAAUAACGAACGAUUACAUCCUAGUGUACCAAUAUUUCUUUACUUUUCAUUUAUUAGAAUAUAUUGCAUUUCCGCAGAAGAGAGUUUUCUUUUCAUCAUCGGAAUUCUUAUUUUUUUUAGUCAGAUAUCAUUUCAGAAGACUGACUUGACAGAUGGAAUUCCAAAUAUAUUAUGUAAAAAAUAUUAGUAAUAUAGUAUUAUCUGUAAAUACUGAUAAGUCGAAGAGCACGACGUGAAGAAUAAUGUAUAUUACUGCAAGUACAGGGAUUAAUAUAGAGAACUUUGGAAUGAUUAAGAUAAAGAAUUAUUACCUGGAAUGUGUUACGUCCCACUCGGUUCGGGCCUCAAAAUUUUUUUUGUUCUGAACUUACCUUGAGGAGCUCCAAUCUUUGUGAGAUUUGUGUCCUUUUAGGCCGUUACUUGCUACACGCAGUUCGUGGCACGGGAUAGACACCUAUUCGCGGUCUCCUGGCUCGGCAACGUUGACAGGAACCUCCGGAUCGUUCUUUGCCCUAAGAUCGAAUGGCGCUAAAUCUCUCGGGAUGUAGAUGGUGCUCUCUAUGGUGAUUGGCACGAGACGGUAAGGUAAUGCUUUGCGGUUGCUCGCGUUCCUGGAUGACGCUACUCUUAAAUCUCCGUGAAAAUGAGAAAGAUCGAAAAAUGUCCCCGGUGAAGAAUACUGUCAAAUAACCGUGGAGUCGAGCGAUGCAGCCGUUUUUAUUCUUCGUUGAUCUGCGGUAGGCGAUUCAAAAUAGUGCCGCCGUGAGGAUGUAACCGUCGCGCGUAGUGGGGUUAAAUCUGCCGCUGUCGUGGUCCCGUGGUGGGGACGGAAAUUUGGAGAUUUCCAAUGCGGAGAGCAUGUACGUCUAGUGAUAGUUUCUUUUCCUUACUUUCUUAGUUUUCUGCGUCCCUUUCCCUUUCCUGGAAUUUGAUAUCGCUUUUGUGGGGACGAAAUUGGGGAUAUCUCCACCCGGAGAAUAUGUACGUUGAGCGGUGAUCUCGCUUCCUCGACUUUCUUGGGCUCCUGUAUCCCUUUUCCUUUUCCCGGCGUUCGGCAUCGCUUUUUAUGACCUUUUCAGGUAUCUUUCGUCUCUGUGCCGCUUAUAUGUUUAUGUCUUAUUUGUUAUUAUGUUUUUUAUAAUAGCGUUAAUUUGUGUUACAAGAUAUUCCCUUUAUGUCGGGUUCGAAUGUGUCAUAUAAUAAUGUUAGUUAUAUAUAUAUAUGUACGUUUUGACUAAAAAAAUGUAAAAAUAUUAAAAAAAUUUGUAUAGUGCAUAAGCGUAAGGUGUCCCCGUUUCUCCUAUACAUAGUAAUAUAAAAUAAGGUUCUUUAUUUACAGGUUUUAAUUGUUACGUAUGAGAAGGGAGCGGGAUGUAACACUUCCUCCCUUAUUAGAAAAUGUGCGUAAUUACACGUGCAUUUUAGCUUCUUUCCUUACUUAGGUAAGUAUUUAAUUUGUAAAAUGUUUUAUUUCUUUCAUCAGCAUCGUACUCUCUUUUUUCUUCGUCGGUGUUUGCAGCCUCUGGUACCGUACUUGUCGGAGUUUUUUCUUUCUUUUCUCGUUUUCCUAGGUGUAGAAGAAGAUGAGUCACCGAGCUCCAUAGUGCUCCUAAAAGAUGUAAACUCCAUCCGUAUAUGUCAUGCAGGGCAUAAUCGUGGAUGAGUGUAUCGAUGAUGAAUUUCACCAAUCGUAUGGCCAUAGAGAUAGCUGAAACUCUGGCGCUUGCUGACUCAAACGUAAUGAACACGUUCUAUAGUCUUUGCGCCGUAUUUGAUGCGAUUUUGUUUAAAGAUUCUUCGUCCAUUAGGUUAUAUAGUGAGAUUUUUCCAAAGGGUAUAUUCCUUCCGUUGAUUCCUCUGGCGAGCGUAUCGAUAAUAGCAGGUUUUUCAGCCGGUUCCAUUAUGUGAGAUCUUAAUUUAUUUAGGUCUUCGUUGGAAUAGAUUCCACUCAUUCCUAAGUGUUCUGGAUCGAUAUACCUCCAUUUCGACUUCGUUAACGGUUGAAUCACUGGCAGGGGUAUUGAUUCUACUAAUUUUGGCGUCACCUUGUACCAUGUUCCAUGCAAAUUGUACAUAUUGGGCAGCAACUCGUUACAGUCUUUUGGAGAUGCUUCUUUCAGGAUGAUGCGCGUUUUUGGCAAGAGAAAAUAAGAUUCAGUUUGAUAUGUUAUUGAUAGUUCUUUAUAACAGUCCUCGGUUUAUCUUAUCCUGACUUCUGCCGGAACACAUUUUAUGAUAUAGAUUACCUCUGUUGCAAUGACAGCCAUAUAACCCGGUUGUUUCAUUAGGGCGUAAGCCAUUUCAUCAGGUGCUAGCGUUGCCAGCGAAAGAGCGUUUUUAAGUACUUGUUGUUCUAACAUGCAUUUUUGUCGAGUGGUGUCGAUGUAUAGAGUGUUUAGUUGCGUCUUAAGGUGUCUUUCUACGUAAAUAAAUUUUAAAUUUAUGCGAAGGUGUCCAAAUUUUCUACGGAGGUUUUCAUUUUACCUUUGAACGUUCUUCCCGGCGAUGUUUAUCCGCACAGGAUGAUAUCGCUCGUUCUUGUUAAUGCGAAGGUGACAUCUUUUGUUGUUACCGUAUACAAUGUGAGUCCUUGCAGCGACUCAGCGGGUGUUAGCUUUGUUGCGGGCCCCUCGUAAAGGACCUCGUACUCGUUAAAGCCACAACUAUCGGUGGGUAUAUUUGACCAGUACGUCUCGCUUCCAUCUGAGUCGAGACAGGUUUCCUCGUCCAAUGCACAGGCGGUUCCUGACUGUAGGUGCACCUGGUUGGUUUUCAUUUUUACAGUGGCGUAGUAGUCCCGUAAUGUGAUCUUGACGGAUGCUUGUACCACUACGUCAUCCCAUGUUUCGUAAAAGUCACAAUAUUGUGAGCUCUUACACGUGCCAUCUGUGUCGUGGUGCCACUCAAAGUGAUGCUCCUUGUAUCGGUGCUAUUCUCUUUUAUUCCGAAGAUAAAUACGUUUGGUCCGAGAAAGAAAGUGCCUGUAGAAUGUAACUGUUGGCACAACUGAUGUGUCAGCGUGAACAAAUACUCUCGGCAUCCGUUGUGAACUAUGGAUGUGUGCGAGUGCAUGCCACAGUGGAAUAUCGUGCGAUCUAUUUCUACACGACAUUGUAGAACCCUUACUGUGUUAUAGUCGGCGGUUUGUAGUAGUUGUACGUAUACAGUGUUGUUAGUUGGUAGUAAGUUCGGGAUCUCGCAGUCCGCUAUAUCCAAGAGAGAGUACAAAGUGAUAUUCAAAGAUUGCGUGGCGCAAUCAUAUCGUACUAGUGCUGGCGUUGAUCUCGCUAAGGUAAGUAUAAGUAUAUAAGUGUUUAUUAGAUACAUUAUUCGUCGAAAUUUUGACUUAUUCUAUCGUGUAGAGUGUCUAAGAAGCAACUGAUGCCGUUGUUAUAUUCGCAGCUUCCUAUAUUCUAUUUUCUUUAACCUAUGGUGGGGGGCCACCUUCAUCAAUCGUCAUCAUGGAAGGAAGAGCAUCGUUGCGCCAUGCUGCGCUGAAAAAGAACCCGUUAUUGGUAUCAUAGCUUUCCAUAAUGUCAAUCAUUAUCUUGACUUAUCGACUUUAUGUCUAUUGGCGUGUACCACACGGUCAUCAAUGUUGGUUUUAAUUGUUACGUAUGAGAAAGGAGCGGGAUGUAAUACAGUCCAGUUUGCGCUGCUGAUAUGCUAGUUCUUAUCGACUAUCGAAUUGGUGGGAAUCCGCCUUAUCAAUCGUCAUCAUGGAAAGGAGAGCGACUGUUGCUCCAUGCUGCGCUAUUGAAACCGCGAGUCGGUGAUGCAGAUUUCCAUAAUGUCGACUUAUCGAGCUUGGAAAUUAAACUAGCUUAUUGAGUUUUCAUCGGUUGGUGUGUACUACACAAUUACCUUUGGAAUAAUAGAAAUUGGAUGAUAUGGAAAGCAGUGAUAGCGAUAGCUCAUAGAGGAACACAAGAAACCACUUUUCAACGCAAUUUCUUUCAAGUCAUGGGACUUUCUAGGUAAAACUAAGGUCGCUGAAUCUCGUCACGGAUGGAACAUGCGAGUGUGGCGAAGAGGACACGAUUUCGGAUCACAUCAUCGAAUGCUCGGUUUUCGAACCUCAGAAAGUUGCUCUGGAAGAAAUAUUCUGCGAAAAGAGCUGGCCAGAAGUAGCGAAACAUCUUGUCUUCACGGCUGAGGCCUUUUCCCUCUUCGCGGUUUUGUAAAGAAACCAUCUGUAUUAAGGGUUAACUCACUCUCGAACAGGAUAGAGUCGGAGAUACUCGCAUGCGUUACCCUAUUUUUUUUUCUUCUCACUACAAUCCAAUACUCUCUCUAAUACCUGCUAUCCUACCAAUCCUAUCCUGUCCUACGGAACGAGUGUCAAGGAUCGUGGCACUGUGAGUGGGCCUUUCCGUGGUUUCCCGUGGGUACAGCCGGCAUCAGCGUGGUGAUUCGUUGUUGCGAGGAUGUUGGUCGCUGCCAGGAUGUGUCUAAACCGCUCACCUUAUCUUGCCGGCAGGAGUUUUGGGUUUUUCCGAAUCCGGUCACUUGGCUGUGGUGGCUGCUGCCUUUGGGUGGUUUCGUAGCGUAUGUCGUAAUGGGCGAGGUAGCAUAGGUGCAGGCACCAUAUGUCUAUUCACCUUUACACUAUACUGUUCCAUCAUGGCUGCGAUACGGGAUGGACACGUUGCCGUGUGCGCCGCGUUUUGUGAAAAUUUUUCCGGUUUCCUUUAUUUUGCCUGUGAAAAAAUUAUCUCAUCCGUUAAUUAGAGAUCGGUGAACAGAGUGAGAUAAUAAUCAAUACUAGGGAUUGAUUAAUUUCUCUGUAAUUAGUGUAGAAUGUGCUCAGUAGUUUUGUAGAGGUUAUGUUCGUUUUUGCAUUUUAUAUUCUAUGGACGAACGGUGGACUCAACUGAUAAUUUCUGUUGCAAGACGGAAGUGGAUUUGCAACUAAUUCACGCCAUACUGUGAUUGGCUGAUGGAUUGGACAACAAUAAUUUGUAUUGGUAGCAAUGCACAUUAUUUAUUUUUCGACAGUUGGCGCACAUGCGUCUCUCAUAACCUCAAAUCAAAAAAGCGCGGGAAACGUACGGAACUUCAGGCAUGGCUCUACAGACCUUGUCGCCCUUUCGUCAUAGGAACGUGACCGCGAAAAUAGAGCCUUGAUGAAACUCCUUCAAAUAAAUAGUGGAGUGCUUGCAUGAUCAAAUAAUUAAUAAUUAAAAAAAAUAUUUUUUUUUUCUCUAAGUCCUUAUUUACUUAAAGUACCUUUACUGAAGUAUUUUAAUAAUUUUCUCUUCUUUUCGAAGUCCUCUAUUUACUUGAACUAUUUUUACUAAAGUGCUUAAAAUUUUUUUUUCCCGUAGUGAAAUAUUACUAUUCAUAAAUACAAACUAUUAUAUCAAAAUCUUUUUUAUGAGUCAUUGUUAUGAAUUACUGAUAUCUUCCAUUUGAAUAUAAUAUAGUUUUUAUAUAAUACGAGUAAUUUAACAUAAAUAACUAAAUUCAAAAAGACUCGUUAAUUUAGUAAGAGAUAUAUAAAAUUAAAUUUUUUCAAAAUUUUUCAAAACUUCUAUG